GAUGAACGCUAGCUACAGGCUUAACACAUGCAAGUCGGGGGGUAACGAGAGGAAAGCUUGCUUUCCUUGUCGACGACCGGCGCACGGGUGAGUAACGCGUAUCCAACCUGCCCCCAACUAGGGAAUAACCUUGCGAAAGUAAGACUAAUACCCUAUAAUUUCCUCAGAUGACAUCUGACGAGGAAUAAAGAUUUAUCGGUUGUGGAUGGGGAUGCGUCUGAUUAGCUUGUUGGCGGGGUAACGGCCCACCAAGGCAACGAUCAGUAGGGGUUCUGAGAGGAAGGUCACCCUAAUUGGAACUGAGACACGGUCCAAACUCCUACGGGAGGCAGCAGUGAGGAAUAUUGGUCAAUGGGCGGAAGCCUGAACCAGCCAAGUAGCGUGCAGGAUGACGGCCCUAUGGGUUGUAAACUGCUUUUAUACAGGAAUAAAGUUAGCCACGUGUGGUUAUUUGUAGGUACUGUAUGAAUAAGGACCGGCUAAUUCCGUGCCAGCAGCCGCCGCCG
RNAcentral lists this ribosomal RNA (506 nucleotides) under uncultured bacterium. RNAcentral describes it as "partial 16S ribosomal RNA". It matches the Rfam family "Bacterial small subunit ribosomal RNA", at positions 28 to 523 of the family's 1533-position model. The record is from RNAcentral.